RNAcentral lists this transfer RNA (82 nucleotides) under Pseudonocardia halophobica. RNAcentral's name for it is "tRNA-Phe". Lineage: Bacteria; Bacillati; Actinomycetota; Actinomycetes; Pseudonocardiales; Pseudonocardiaceae. The record is from RNAcentral.
CGAGGAGGUCGUGCCGGCCGGCGACGCGCUCACGGCGCUGAAGCUGCUGCAGGCCCGCCGGUUCGACGCCGCCUUCCUCGAC